GUGGGGAAUAUUGCACAAUGGGGGGAACCCUGAUGCAGCGACGCCGCGUGAGUGAAGAAGUCUUUCGGUAUGUAAAGCUCUGUCAGCAGGGAAGAAGCAAGACGGUACCUGACCAAGAAGCCACGGCUAACUACGUGCCAGCAGCCGCGGUAAUACGUAGGGGGCAAGCGUUAUCCGGAUUUACUGGGCGUAAAGGGAGCGUAGACGGCAGGGCAAGUCUGGAGUGAAAGGCCGGGGCCCAACCCCUGGACUGCGCUGGAAACUGUCCGGCUGGAGUGCAGGAGAGGUAAGUGGAAUUCCUAGUGUAGCGGUGAAAUGCGUAGAUAUUAGGAGGAACACCAGUGGCGAAGGCGGCUUACUGGACUGUAACUGACGUUGAGGCUCGAAAGCGUGGGGAGCAAACAGG
Molecule: ribosomal RNA, 406 nt
Filed under: uncultured bacterium
Lineage: Bacteria
Description: bacterial SSU rRNA
Rfam family: Bacterial small subunit ribosomal RNA
Source: RNAcentral